This is a non-coding RNA of Danio rerio (zebrafish), 317 nucleotides long. The record is from Ensembl. Lineage: Eukaryota; Metazoa; Chordata; Actinopteri; Cypriniformes; Danionidae.
AAACGAGGAAGUGAAGUCAAGUCCGCCAUUUCAUCUUCUUCUUUAUAUCGGAAAAGAAAGGAAUCAUGCAAGGAUGCAAGCUGAAGGAAAGGACAACUCUCACAUCAGUGCAUUACUAAUUGUUUGACUUCAUCAUCAAGCACACCAGACGGUGCGGUGGUACAGUGGAUAGCUCUGUUGCCUCCCAGCAAAAAUGUUUCUGGUUCGAGCAUCGGCUGGGUCAGUUGGCAUUUCUGUGUGAAGUUUGUAUGUUCUCCACGUGUUAGCGUGGGUCUCCUCCGGGUGCUCCGGUUUCCCCCACAAGACAUGCGGUACAG